GACAGAGGGGGCAAGCGUUGCUCGGAAUUACUGGGCGUAAAGGGCGCGUAGGCGGGAUGGCAAGUCGGUCGUGAAAUCCUUCGGCUCAACCGAAGAACGUCGAUCGAUACUGCCGUGCUUGAGGACUGGAGAGGAGACUGGAAUUUACGGUGUAGCGGUGAAAUGCGUAGAUAUCGUAAGGAAGACCAGUGGCGAAGGCGGGUCUCUGGACAGUUCCUGACGCUGAGGCACGAAGGCCAGGGGAGCAAACGGG
Molecule: ribosomal RNA, 253 nt
Filed under: uncultured bacterium
Lineage: Bacteria
Description: partial 16S ribosomal RNA
Rfam family: Bacterial small subunit ribosomal RNA
Source: RNAcentral